AGAGUUUGAUCCUGGCUCAGGAUGAACGCUAGCUACAGGCUUAACACAUGCAAGUCGAGGGGAAACGACAUCGAAAGCUUGCUUUUGAUGGGCGUCGACCGGCGCACGGGUGAGUAACGCGUAUCCAACCUGCCCACCACUUGGGGAUAACCUUGCGAAAGUAAGACUAAUACCCAAUGACGUCUCUAGAAGACAUCUGAAAGAGAUUAAAGAUUUAUCGGUGAUGGAUGGGGAUGCGUCUGAUUAGCUUGUUGGCGGGGUAACGGCCCGCAAGGCUACGAUCAGGUAGGGGUUCUGAGAGGAACGGUCCCCCCANAUUGGAACUGAGACACGGUCCAAACUCCUACGGGAGGCA
This 355-nucleotide ribosomal RNA is filed under the name uncultured bacterium. Its description in RNAcentral is "bacterial SSU rRNA". It matches the Rfam family "Bacterial small subunit ribosomal RNA", at positions 8 to 350 of the family's 1533-position model. The record is from RNAcentral.